CCUACGGGAGGCAGCAGUGGGGAAUAUUGGACAAUGGGCGAAAGCCUGAUCCAGCCAUGCCGCGUGUGUGAAGAAGGCCUUCGGGUUGUAAAGCACUUUCAGUGGGGAAGAAAGCCUUGGGGCUAAUACCCUCGAGGAAGGACAUCACCCACAGAAGAAGCACCGGCUAACUCCGUGCCAGCAGCCGCGGUAAUACGGAGGGUGCGAGCGUUAAUCGGAAUUACUGGGCGUAAAGCGCGCGUAGGCGGUCUGAUAAGCCGGUUGUGAAAGCCCCGGGCUCAACCUGGGAACGGCAUCCGGAACGGUCAGGCUAGAGUGCAGGAGAGGAAGGUAGAAUUCCCGGUGUAGCGGUGAAAUGCGUAGAGAUCGGGAGGAAUACCAGUGGCGAAGGCGGCCUUCUGGACUGACACUGACGCUGAGGUGCGAAAGCGUGGGUAGCAAACAGGAUUAGAUACCCGUGUAGUC
This 465-nucleotide ribosomal RNA is filed under the name Vreelandella stevensii. Its description in RNAcentral is "partial 16S ribosomal RNA". It matches the Rfam family "Bacterial small subunit ribosomal RNA", at positions 338 to 795 of the family's 1533-position model. The record is from RNAcentral. Lineage: Bacteria; Pseudomonadati; Pseudomonadota; Gammaproteobacteria; Oceanospirillales; Halomonadaceae.